AGAGUUUGAUCCUGGCUCAGAACGAACGCUGGCGGCAGGCUUAACACAUGCAAGUCGAACGCACCWCAAGGUGAGUGGCAGACGGGUGAGUAACACGUGGGAACAUACCCUUUGGUUCGGAACAACUCAGGGAAACUUGAGCUAAUACCGGAUAAGCCCCUCGGGGGAAAGAUUUAUUGCCGAAGGAUUGGCCCGCGUCUGAUUAGCUAGUUGGUGAGGUAAUGGCUCACCAAGGCGACGAUCAGUAGCUGGUCUGAGAGGAUGAUCAGCCACAUUGGGSCUGAGACSCGGCCCAAACUCSUSCGGGAGGCAGCAGUGGGGAAUAUUGGACAAUGGGCGCAAGCCUGAUCCAGCCAUSCCGCGUGAGUGAUGAAGGCCUUAGGGUGGUAAAGCUCUUUUACCCGGGAAGAUAAUGACUGUGCCGGGAGAAUAAACCCCGGCUAACUUCGUGCCAGCAGCCGCGGUAAU
Molecule: ribosomal RNA, 468 nt
Filed under: uncultured bacterium
Lineage: Bacteria
Description: bacterial SSU rRNA
Rfam family: Bacterial small subunit ribosomal RNA
Source: RNAcentral